This is an RNA transcript of Toxotes jaculatrix (banded archerfish), 6497 nucleotides long. It is a transcript of the gene named ATPase copper transporting alpha, with no coding region annotated. The transcript is spliced from 24 exons. NCBI's taxonomy places the organism in Eukaryota, Metazoa, Chordata, Actinopteri, Toxotidae. The record is from RefSeq and is a predicted model, not a curated record.
GCCGUCAGUCACGUCGGCGUGCGAAGGAGAGACGAAAACAGUCUGAGCUGAGUUAUGUGAUAAGAGCGGAGGAAAACUGUUAUUUCAGCAAACUCUGUUAUUCCUCACAGGCAGCACGAUGCUGCGAAGUGUCCGCGUAGCUGCCUGUAACGUAGGGUAAAGAGAAGAGGCUAGCUAGCCUGCUAGCUUGAUUUAGCCACACAGUCUGACAGCCGACGUUUGUAGCCUGUAGCUAACCGGUUACUUUCAUCUGAACAAGAUUAACCAAUCAUGACACAGAAAGUCAGUCUGUGUUCGGUGUCCCUCGGAGUGGAGGGUAUGACUUGUAACUCCUGUGUCCAGUCCAUAGAGCAGCGCAUUGGGUCUUUCCCGGGAGUGAUACAUAUAAAGGUGUCUUUAGAGCAGAAGAAUGCCACGGUCAUGUUUGACCAGAACCAGCAGAGUCCAGAGUCUCUCUCAGAGGCCAUUGAGGACAUGGGCUUUGAGUCAAGUCUGUCGGAGUCCAUCGCAGCCACACCAGUCUCUACAGAUACCACGCUGAUAUCCACCUCAGGCCUGACACCUGCAGCCCUAGAAGAGGCUGUGGAGAAGCUAUCCCAGAUUCAGGGAGUGCUGGAUGUCAGAGAGAGCCAGGUCCAGAUGGAGCUCGCUGUCACCUUUGUUCCUUCCCUGACCUCAGCGCUGCAGCUGAGCGAGCUGGUGGCCAGCGUAACGCCUCUGGAGAUUCCCACACCCAGCAGCCCUGUGCAAAUAGGCCUAACCUUGUCUCCAUCUCAUAGCAGGGGAGGAGGGGUGGCACUCGUCAAGUUAUGCAUUGAAGGAAUGACGUGCCACUCCUGCACCACCACUAUUGAGGGGAAGAUUGGAAAACUGAAAGGGAUUGAAAAGAUCAAAGUUGUUUUGGAGUCUCAGGAAGCGACAAUCGUGUACCUGCCUUACCUCAUCACUGUCCAGACCAUCACUGACCAGAUUGCUGUGGCUGGCUUCAAGGCUUUUGUCAAGUCCAAGCCCCGUCCUCUGCAGCUGUCCCCCAGUGAAAUCGAACGUUUUGUUGAUUCUCAAAAACCAACUGUGUCUUCUCCAUCAGAGACUUCAGAGGAGACAGAAAUCUUCAUAGACACAACACUUGUCCCUCUCAGGGUGAAAGGCAUGCACUGCCAUUCCUGUGUGGUCAAUAUCCAAGACAAUGUCUCUAAGCUGCCUGGUGUCUCCUCUGUGGAGGUCUCUCUGGAGAAGGAGAAGGCGUCCAUCUGCUAUGAUCCUCUAAAGGUCACAGUGCCUCAGCUGCAGCAGGCAAUUGAGGCGCUGCCUCCAGGAAACUUCAAGACACAACCCUGGGACUCCUCGGGCCCUCUCAGUCCUGUAUCUAUAUCGCCCACUCCAGCCUUAUCAUCACCUUGGCCUGCCCAGGCCAAAGUUUCUGCCUCACAGCCUUGUUUUACCCAGCCUCUGGCAUCGGUAGUUGAUAUUCACAUCGAAGGCAUGACAUGCAACUCCUGUGUCCAGUCCAUUGAAGGCAUGAUCUCUCAGAGGAAGGGGGUGGUGUCAGCUAAGGUCUCUCUGGCUGAUCACCAGGGGAUCUUUGAGUACGACCCGCUCCUGACCACACAAGAGGAGCUGAGGGAGGCCAUAGAGGACAUGGGCUUUGACGCCUUCCUACCUGAGACCAAUUCUCUGCUGCCUGCACCAGAUCCCAGUCUCUCCAAGUCUUCGUGUCUAGCACCUGUGAAAGAUAAGGAGCUGGACAGUGACCUACACAAAGAAGCCCCCCAAGGACUCAACAAAGACAAGCACUCUAAAUGCUACAUCCAGAUCGGAGGGAUGACGUGUGCUUCCUGCGUGGCUAACAUCGAGCGAAACCUUAAGAAUGAACCUGGCAUCUACUCUGUUCUGGUGGCGCUAAUGGCCAGUAAAGCAGAGGUGCGUUAUAACCCUGAAGUCAUCGACCCUGUGAAGAUAGCCGAGUGUGUGAAAGAGCUCGGCUUCACCGCCUCCGUGAUGGAGAACUACGAAGGUUCAGACGGAAACCUAGAACUAGUGGUCCGGGGAAUGACGUGUGCCUCUUGUGUUCACAAAAUCGAAUCCAGCCUUAUGAGAGAGAAGGGGAUUAUAUAUGCCUCUGUUGCCUUGGCAACCAACAAAGCACACGUUAAGUACGACUCCGAAAUUAUAGGGCCGCGGGACAUCAUCAAGCUGAUUGAGAAUCUGGGGUUUGAAGCAUCUUUGGUAAAGAGGGACCGGACUGCCAGUCACCUGGACCACAGCAAAGAGAUACAACAGUGGAGGAAAUCUUUCCUGGUCAGCUUGAUUUUCUGUGUGCCUGUGAUGGGCAUGAUGAUCUACAUGAUGAUCGUAGACCACCAGAUGAACGUUUCACAUGAACACAACGCUACGGCGGAGGAACGAAACCAUUACCACUCCACCAUGUUCCUGGAGAGACAGCUGUUCCCAGGCCUGUCCAUCAUGAACCUCCUCUCCUUCCUGUUUUGCGUGCCCGUACAGUUUAUAGGAGGUCGAUACUUCUACAUUCAAGCCUACAAAGCAGUCAAACACCGAUCUGCCAACAUGGAUGUGCUAAUAGUUUUGGCUACCACCAUAGCCUUCACCUACUCACUGGUCAUCCUAAUAGUGGCCAUGGUGGAGAAGGCCAAAGUCAACCCCAUCACCUUCUUUGACACACCGCCUAUGCUCUUUGUCUUCAUCUCUCUGGGACGCUGGCUGGAACAGAUAGCCAAGAGCAAGACAUCUGAGGCUUUGUCCAAGCUCAUGUCUCUGCAAGCCACUGAGGCCACAGUGGUCACUCUCAGCAGUGACAAGUCUAUUCUCAGUGAGGAGCAGGUGGAUGUUGAGCUGGUGCAGAGGGGUGACGUGGUGAAAGUCGUCCCCGGAGGAAAGUUUCCAGUAGACGGGAGGGUCAUUGAGGGACACUCCAUGGCUGAUGAGUCUCUCAUUACAGGCGAGGCCAUGCCAGUGACUAAGAAGCCUGGGAGCUCUGUGAUUGCAGGCUCCAUUAACCAGAAUGGCUCUCUGCUUGUCAGCGCUACGCACGUUGGCAUGGACACGACACUGUCUCAGAUUGUCAAACUAGUGGAGGAGGCUCAGACCUCAAAGGCUCCCAUCCAGCAGUAUGCGGAUAAGAUCAGCGGCUACUUCGUACCCUUCAUUGUUGCCAUAUCUGUCCUUACACUGCUCGCCUGGAUUAUCAUUGGGUUUUUGGACUUCUCACUAGUGGAAAAGUACUUUCCUGGUUAUGACAAGAGUAUUUCCAGGUCCGAGGCAGUGAUUCGUUUUGCCUUCCAGGCCUCCAUAACAGUGUUAUGCAUCGCCUGUCCCUGUUCCCUUGGCUUGGCAACCCCGACAGCUGUCAUGGUGGGCACAGGGGUUGGAGCCCAAAAUGGUAUUCUGAUAAAGGGAGGAGAGCCACUUGAGAUGGCACAUAAGGUCCAGUCGGUGGUGUUUGAUAAGACUGGGACCAUCACAUACGGUGCUCCAAAAGUUAUCCAAGUCAAGAUGGUUGUCGAGGGGAACAAGAUGCCUCGUUCCCGACUGUUGGCCAUCGUCGGUACAGCUGAGAACAACAGUGAACACCCUCUGGGAGCAGCUAUCACCAAAUACUGCAAACAGGAGCUCGGCACAGAGUCUCUUGGCACGUGCACAGACUUUCAGGCGGUGCCGGGCUGUGGCAUCCGAUGUCAGGUCAGCAACACGGAGAACCUGCUGAAACAGGCGGACAGCGACAGCGAGGACAACAACCAGCGUAACAGCGUCCUCGUCCAAAUCAGUGACACCCGGAUAACCACCAGCUCCCAUCCACUCAUCAUGGACCCACAGCCACUAAGCCACGUCCAGACAGCCAGCUACGUCGUCCUGAUUGGCAACAGAGAGUGGAUGAGGAGGAACUGCCUGCAGAUCAGACCUGAUAUAGAUGAGGCCAUGACGGAGCAUGAGCGCAGAGGACGCACUGCCGUUCUUGUAGCUAUAGACAACAUGCUGUGUGCGAUGAUAGCCAUAGCUGACACAGUGAAACCAGAGGCUGAGCUUGCAGUACACACUCUGACCAACAUGGGUCUGGAAGUUGUGCUGAUGACAGGAGACAACAGCAAGACAGCACGGGCUAUUGCUGCCCAGGUGGGUAUCAGGAAAGUGUUUGCUGAGGUGCUUCCCUCCCACAAGGUGGCCAAGGUGGAACAGCUGCAGCAGGCAGGCAAGAGAGUGGCCAUGGUGGGUGACGGUGUUAACGACUCACCUGCUCUGGCCAUGGCUGACGUGGGCAUCGCCAUAGGAACCGGGACAGAUGUGGCCAUAGAAGCGGCAGACGUGGUUUUGAUCAGGAACGACCUCCUGGAUGUGGUGGGUAGUAUCGACCUCUCUAAGAAGACUGUCAAGAGGAUCAGGAUCAACUUUGUAUUUGCUCUUAUCUACAACCUGGUCGGCAUUCCUAUUGCUGCUGGCGUAUUCCUUCCCAUUGGUCUGGUCUUACAGCCGUGGAUGGGCUCUGCUGCGAUGGCGCUGUCAUCUGUCUCUGUGGUUUUGUCCUCUCUUCUACUCAAAUGUUACACUAAGCCCACUGCAGAGAAGUUGGAGGCCCGACUGGGUAACAGCAGGCGUCAGGGCAGCCUGUCGGAUGUCAGCAUCCACAUCGGCAUGGGCGAGAUGCGUCGUCCCUCCCCCAGACUCAGCCUGCUGGACCGCAUCGUCAACUACAGCCGUGCCUCAAUCAACUCCCUGCGAUCCGACAAGCACUCGCUGAACAGCUUGGUGCUCAGCGAGCCCGACAAACACUCGCUGCUGGUGGGGGAUGCGCUGUGCGAGGAGGAGUUUUGCUGAAUACGUAAGGCUCACAUUGGCCAGCAGUAACUUUUGUAUUCUGAAGUAGGCUGUAAUUGUAUUUUUUCAAGGCUAGGCCACGCUAAGCUGAAAGGGUUACAUUGAAUAAUGGCCCAUCCAUCUGCUGUAGGUGCCUCGGGGCAGCUCUGUUGAUUUGAAGAGAGCUUAUGUGCCCCUUGUUUUCUUUUAGCUCAACCAGUGGAUCAGAUGCACUUCAGAGCAUGCUGGGGUGAUUUCCUCUCCUUCAUCAGCAGACUGUCUUUUGUUGAGGAGCAGGAAGCAUCUUCAGAGCCUUGAUGCUGGUGUCCACACCCAGGAACCGUGGACAUUUGCCAGUACAAUCUUUAACAUCUAUCCAAAGACAUUUUAACAGUGGUGCACCUUGUAAGAGUGGACACUACAGAGUUAUAUUUUAACUUAAUUUUCCUUUAACGGAAAAUUAUAGUAACACUAUUGUAUUAUUCUGUUCCAGAGUAUUUAUAUUACCUUUAUUUAUCUUUUUUUUCAUUAUAUCUGAUGUGAACAAUGAAGUCGUUGAAUCCAAAUGCCAAUUUUCAUUUUCAGUCUCCCAGAAUGUGUGAUUAUUGAACAAGGUAAGACAUAAAAACUGACUCUAAGACGUCUUGUAACUCGCUGCAAGCUUAUGUUUUGUGCAGAACGCCAGUGGAGUGAGAUGUAAAUGUCAGUUUGACCCAAGUGCCAAUUGAAAUGCCACCUUGGCAAAGUCCAACACAUUCCAAAGAUAGCACUGUACAGAGGUUACCUUGGACAUAAUGUGCACGAAGUGUGAACAGAGAUAAGGUCAAAGCAGAGAAGGGGAAAGCCGACUGUGAAUGGUGACGCCAGCUAUAGAGGUCAUAGAUUUCUGUAGUUGUGUCAACCCUCUGCAUCUUUGGAUAAUUAUAUAAAAUGUGUGUCAGUGAAUGUGAACAUUAUUCGUUGUUAAAUUUAAACAGAAGUUGUUACAUGAAUGACAUUGUGCCUGGAUUACUUUAUGUGCUUACUGCAAAGAGAAGGUUUGUGUUAUGAAAAGACUGAAUCGUAAAUGCAUCGGCGUUCUUUUCAGCGCCACAGGAGGCAAGAUGGUGUUACUGUUUCUAAGGACUUUGUUCAUUUCUCUGCUUUUCCAUAUGAUGAAUAAUCAUCAAAGAAACUCGAUCAAAGAAACAUCUUUGCACCCAGGGGAGCAGACUAAACACAGCUGUGUCCCAGCAGUUCCACCAAACAAGUUACUGAGAAACAAACGUCGAUGAAUGAAGUAGAUUUUCAUAAAAUCAAAUUGUACAAGUUGUAAAAAUUGAAAUGACAUCAGCUACAUCUUGCAGUUGUAGACAGUGACUGUUCAGUCGUCUAUGCUUUAGUUUUUCUGCUGUAAUGUGAUUACAGAUUUUUUUUUUUUUUAUAUUACUAUCUGCUGUGUCAGAUCAGGAGAUAAUCACUGCUGUCCAUCCAUCUAUUCCUUCCAUUUUUGAGUGCAGACUUUCUCUAGUGUUUCUUACUGGCAGUGAGAAGAGCCAUCAGGUCGUCCUGCCGCUUUCCCAAGAUGCAUUAUGCUCUGUCGCUGUCACAGCUUCUGAGUGUUGUUUUGCCAAUCUGCUGUUUCUGUGCAUUGUUUUGCGAAGAGGUCCGUGGGACUUCAGAUCUGUGUGCAGUUAAAUUAAGCGAGUUUA